Molecule: ribosomal RNA, 392 nt
Filed under: uncultured bacterium
Lineage: Bacteria
Description: partial 16S ribosomal RNA
Rfam family: Bacterial small subunit ribosomal RNA
Source: RNAcentral
AUACAUAGGGGGCAAGCGUUAUCCGGAAUUAUUGGGCGUAAAGAGGGAGCAGGCGGCAGCAAGGGUCUGUGGUGAAAGCCUGAAGCUUAACUUCAGUAAGCCAUAGAAACCAGGCAGCUAGAGUGCAGGAGAGGAUCGUGGAAUUCCAUGUGUAGCGGUGAAAUGCGUAGAUAUAUGGAGGAACACCAGUGGCGAAGGCGACGAUCUGCCCGUGAACUGACGCUCAGUCCCGAAAGCGUGGGGAGCAAAUAGGAUGAGAUUCCCUAGUAGUCCACGCCGUAAACGAUGAGUACUAAGUGUUGGAUGUCAAAGUUCAGUGCUGCAGUUAACGCAAUAAGUACUCCGCCUGAGUAGUACGUUCGCAAGAAUGAAACUCAAAGGAAUUGACGGGG